This 2200-nucleotide long non-coding RNA is filed under the name Cricetulus griseus (Chinese hamster). RNAcentral describes it as "lncRNA (ENSCGRG00000025826.1)". The record is from RNAcentral. Lineage: Eukaryota; Metazoa; Chordata; Mammalia; Rodentia; Cricetidae.
GGGCAGGUUUAUCAUCUUUGCAGGAGCUCCAUGUAGGGAGCAGACUGAGGCUUGCAGUCACCCUGGAAGCUGUGGUUAAGUUUCCACAUACUCUGUCAACACACACAUUUAGACAAGAGGGAGGUUCUGCAUCCCCCUGAGAUGAUAUCAGCAAGGGAAGGCUUUGCCCCUCCCAACCACUAGAGGAGAGGAAAAUGGCCUCAUGGCUAGGGAAGCAUGGAUAGGAAACAGAUAGGAAGAUGCUGAAUAAACAAGAGACUCCAGUGUUGCAACAUGGAACUGAGAGCUCUCUAAAGGUGACAAGAUGCUUGUGUUUGGUCUUUAUCGCUGUCUGGUUGCUAGGAGUUUCCAAGUCCAUGUUCCCCCACUCAGGCCAAACCUCAUGGAUACCACGGCUUGGGGCUGAGACAUGCCACGACAAAAUGGCUCCUGAACACAGGAUCUGAGAACGGGGGAAGAAGCCAUGGACACCACGAAGAAAGGGACACCAAAGAAGCAAUGGACAAGGCAGAGGUGUGGACAAUUCAAAGAGAUAGUCAUUGAGGUCGAACCAGCCAGAGAAGAGGCACAUGCAGGAAAAAGAAGAAAGAAGUGGCCGAGUGUGGACUUGGGAGGAUAAAUGAAUGACUUACAGGAACUGGAUACAUAAUGUCUCGCUCACAUUCCGAAGCCACUUCUCUUCUACACACCCUUUCACCUGCCACCAUCAACAGUCCUCAUUCCUGCUGGUCAGAGCCUCAGGUGUGAGGCCCAGGGAUAGGAUGCAGAGCCAAGUCUCAGAAACAGACCAUUUCUUUUCAACAAACCCAAGAGAGCCUGCAGUUCUCCCAGAAAGUGAGGUUGUAUGAUUGAGUGCCAACAAAGAUGGAUGCCCAGUGUUUCCUUCACCAGGCACCCUAGAAGUGUGCACCCUGGAAUGGCUGGCUGGUGAACUUCUCCCAUCAUCCUAUAUCCUUUACCCCUGCUAAGAGCCACCUCCAAGGCACAGCAGAAACUGAGAAGCUAGGUGUACUCUAGCUCUGGGACUUGUGUAUAUCACGCAAUGUGACGCUGAUGGCUUUGGUUGUAAGAUGAGAUAACAAUGAUGCAAGACACUGUCUACUAGAGGUGGUUGUGCUGGCUAGUUUAUGUCACCUUGACACAAGCUAGAGUCAUUUGAAAAGAGGAAACCUCAUUUGAGAAAUGCCCCUAUCAAGAUCUGACUAUAGGGCAUUUUCUUCAGUCAUUACGGGUAGGGCCCUCCCUGGGCUGUUGUCUUAGGUUCUAUAAACAGAUUGAGCAAACCAAAAUGAGUAAGCCAGUAAGCAGCACCCUCCACAGCCUCUGCAUCAGUUCCUGCCCUGACUUCCUUCAGUGAUGGACUACAAUGUGGAAGUGUAAGCAAAAUAAGCCUUUUCCUCCCCAACUUACUUUUGGUCAUGGUGUUUUGUCUCGGUAACAGAAGCCCUCACUAGCACCAUGGUUUUAUGUAGUAUGUGUACUUCUUAACACCAGGACUUAAAAAACUGUCCUUUGCAUUACACUGGAGGGUUGGGAGGAAAGCACUUGGACUCUGCUGCAAUCCACAGCUCAACAAGCAGAGGUAGACUUGGCUACAACAACUUCCAGUUAGAUGCUGUGCUCUGCUCCUCCUGACAGAGCUGGCCAAGUCCUGGAAUGCUGGCAUGCUGACACACCAACUCUACUCGGUAAAACAGCAAUCCCUUGGAUAAUAAAACCAUCAUGAGAGCCAACUGUGUCCUGUGUUGAGCUGGUCUUGUUCUCAGCCUUCCAACUGGGGCAGGACUCCCUUGCCAUAUAGACAAAAAGACCUAGACUUCCACAUGCCAUAUCCACCUUCCUGAGAAUAGGUAAGUUUAUUGUGAAAACCUACUGCUAAGGAAAAAAGGUGUUUUAAACAUUUCCUCUAUUUCUACUGGGAAAAGAUACCAUGCAAACAAACCAGAGGAUGCUUGGCAGGCCUGACAAUAAAGUGUUUCAGUUGGACAGUAUUAGAAAGAUUAUGGCUAUAAGAAACGACAUUAAAAACCGAGCAAAUUGAGUUUGUGAGUAAAAUAUAAUAAGCUUUGGUCGAGUUGAGUAGUGGAGAGGGUGAGGGUAGUGUCUUCAGGUGGUAGACUAUUAGGCAGGAAAUGUCUUCAGGGAUCAUGUUGUUUUGCUUCAAACUGUACUUAAAAUUGUAGGCAGAGGGAUGACUCAG